UACGGAGGAUGCGAGCGUUAUCCGGAUUUAUUGGGUUUAAAGGGUGCGUAGGUGGACUGUUAAGUCAGUGGUGAAAGUUUGUCGCUCAACGAUAAAAUUGCCGUUGAAACUGGUGGUCUUGAGUAUGGAUGAAGUAGGCGGAAUGCGUGGUGUAGCGGUGAAAUGCAUAGAGAUCACGCAGAACUCCGAUUGCGAAGGCAGCUUACUAAGGCAUAACUGACACUGAAGCACGAAAGCGUGGGUAUCAAACAGG
Molecule: ribosomal RNA, 253 nt
Filed under: uncultured bacterium
Lineage: Bacteria
Also listed under: 1 other name
Description: partial 16S ribosomal RNA
Rfam family: Bacterial small subunit ribosomal RNA
Source: RNAcentral